GAUGAACGCUGACAGAAUGCUUAACACAUGCAAGUCGAUGGGGAAGUGGUGCUUGCACCAUGGUAACCAUGGCGGACGGGUGAGUAACACGUAAGGAACUUACCUGCGGGACCGGGAUAACAGCAGGAAACUGCUGACAAGACCGGAUAAGGUCAUUAAGCUGCAUAGCUUAGUGAUGAAAGGAGACGCCUGCGGAGAGCCUUGCGUCCUAUUAGCUAGUUGGAGGGGUAACGGCCCACCAAGGCGAAGAUAGGUAGCCGGCCUGAGAGGGUGGACGGCCACAAGGGGACUGAGAUACGGCCCUUACUCCUACGGGAGGCAGCAGUGGGGAAUAGUGGACAAGGGGGGCAACACUGAUCCAGCAAUUCUGUGUGCACGAAGACGGUUUUCGGAUUGUAAAGUGCUUUCAGCAGGGAAGAAGGAAGUGACGGUACCUGCAGAAGAAGCGACGGCUAAAUACGUG
This 463-nucleotide ribosomal RNA is filed under the name uncultured bacterium. RNAcentral's name for it is "partial 16S ribosomal RNA". It matches the Rfam family "Bacterial small subunit ribosomal RNA", at positions 28 to 507 of the family's 1533-position model. The record is from RNAcentral.